Molecule: long non-coding RNA, 1892 nt
Filed under: Homo sapiens (human)
Lineage: Eukaryota; Metazoa; Chordata; Mammalia; Primates; Hominidae
Description: HSALNT0324749
Source: RNAcentral
AAAAGAGUGCUUCCACAUUAAAUCAAGAAAGACACACACACAAGUGAACUGGAAGAGUAUCACACCCUCUUAGGCCUCAAUGUCCACAACAUCACUGGCCACAGCUUUUAGUUUCAGGAGAAGCCCUGGAGGCUCUCACCUCCCACUUCAGGCUGCCCAAAGUCACAGAGCCUGUGACUCCAGGACUCAUCUUUCUACAAACGCUUUGGUUGGCCAGCGCUUCCUUUUACCGUCAGCCGCCCCUGCCCGGGACACUUGCAGAUCAGGGGACUUUGUGGGUCUCAUUGAGGCUGUAUUUGCGGAUUCAAUUACGCAUUUUUAAUUCCGCAAAUAUUUGCCACUGCUGCCUGACCUGGAGCCUGUGUGGCCAGAUCCUUUGAUCGAAAGCCGUCUGCCUGUGGAUCAGACCCUGUGGUGAGUGGUGACAGCCCAGGGGUGGGGAGGCAGAUCACCCUGCUGGGUUGCUGGGGAAGGCUGUGUGGAGGCCAUAGGGUCUGAGCAAUAUACUAAGACCUAGUUAAAGAUUUGCAGCGAGAGAAUCCAUGAAACAUGAAACACGGAGGCUGUGGGGGGUCGAGUUAGGACUCUGGAUGGCCACAUCCUGACCCCCAGAACAUGCAACCACCGCCUUGUAUGGAAAGGGGGCUUUGCGGAUGUGAUAGGGCUGAGGCUCCUGAGAUGGGUGAUUUUCUUGGAUGAUCCUGGCGGGCCAAUGAAAUCACAGGGUCCUUCUGAGAGGGAGGGAGGACAGCAGAGAGGGGAAGGUGAUGUGGCCACAGAGCCAGAGAUGACGGAAGGGGCUGCCAGCCCAGGGGUCCAGGUACCACCGGAAGAAGGAAAGACAGAGACAUGGGGUCUCCCCAUGCCCAGCCCUGCAGAGACCCUGAAUUCAGCGCAGGGGUACUGAUUUGGGGGUUAUGGCCUCCAGAACUGUGAGAGAAUAAGUCUCCGUUGUCUUAUGCCACCGAGUGUGCGGUACGUGUUAUGGCAGCCACAUAGCAGGUGUGAGGAAGCUGGAGAAGGGACUGAAGAUGGGGUGCAGCUGGGACCACCCUGCUGGGCUAAGGCCAGUUCUGGAAAGAGACUGAACAGCUCUCCCUCAGGAGCAGUGAGGGAGGAACCCGUGAGUCAGUGGAGGGUGGGAGGAAACGUGGGAGGAGCCUCCGACAUCCUAGAAACGCGGGGGUACCAAAGCCAGCACCGGCCUGCGGGGGGAAAGCCGGCCUCUUACGCCCUGGAAGAGGAAACUCACAGAGAUCCCCACAACGACACCCAGCUGUGCAGGAGGCCCACGUCCUGUCUCAUUUCAUUUUCUCCUCUCGGUGAACAAAAAGAGAAGAAAAUGACAGGAGCAGAAGGUCAAAGGGAAGCAUCGAGAGAAAGAGGAUGAAUUGACACCUGUGGCUAAUUGAAGUGAAAUCAGAUCACAGAGGCCAUGAGACCCACGUCCAGAGGGCCCUAGGAGGGAGCUGUGGGCUCAGCUGGUUGAUUUACUCUGGCUUGGGUCGCUGCUACUGCUUUGAGGACAAUAAGCUUGGCCAUCACCAGACACCAGAGGAUGCUGAAGGGACAGCCGGCUAGACUAUUUCAUGGACUCUCUGAGCAUGUCCUAUUGCAGUCCAGGUACAAACUUUUCCUCCAGAAAUAGACAGAGGGAUGCUGCUUCCCAAUUUCAGCAAAGGCAGUGGAAAGAUCCCGGUCAAAAGUAGAAACUCUGGGUCCAGGCCUUCCAGCUGACACUCACUCUGAUAUGGUUUGGCUGUGUUCCCACCCAAAUCUCAACUUGAAUUGUAUCUCUCAGAAUUCCCACGAGUUGUAGGAGGGAUCCAGGUGGAGGUAAUUGAAUCAUGGGGUGGGUCUUUCCCAUGCUAUUCUCGUGAUAGUGAAUAAGU